Dalotia coriaria is the source of this 1487-nucleotide long non-coding RNA. RefSeq lists it as uncharacterized. The record is from RefSeq and is a predicted model, not a curated record. Lineage: Eukaryota; Metazoa; Arthropoda; Insecta; Coleoptera; Staphylinidae. The transcript has 4 exons.
GUGUUAUUCAUUGAUAUAAGUUCGGUAAAUCGCGUUUAAUUUCCUUUUCGCUGGUCAUAAUUGGUGUUAAUAAACAUGUUUAAUCUUUUAUCAACUAUUUCUCGCGUGUGUAAUCUUCGUAAUUCUAAAUUUUGCGUGUUUAGUUUAUUCACGUGUCUGUGAGUCCGUUGCCGUCGGACGACGGCCGCCGAUAUUUUGUGAACGCCAAUAAUUAAUUGUCUUGUGAAAAAUACUUUUAUCAUCAGCUGAUGAUUAGGGACUAAUGUGCUACCUGUAUAUACCAACAUGUCUUCGAUUUGCCGUCUUACAUAACUGCACUUGCUGUGCCUUGAUCACUGAUGCCCACAAUUCUGCUUCCUAUGAUUACCCUUUGCCCCGGUAAGUUGAAAAAUAUUAUUACAUCAUUAUCACAUCGAUGUCUUUAGUCGCGUGCAACGAGAGUACCGUAAUACUCGUAAGUCAAAAUUGUCGCAUGCCGUCGGCUGCGUUAUCGAUUUUGCCUGAGAAUGUGGUUUUCACUGUUAUUCUCAGCUCUUAUUGUUCUUUUGCAUUCAAAAUACUGUAUUCGCGUUGACGCGUUUAAAAGCGAUAUCAAUAUCUUAACGCAAAUCGUGUAUUGUGCCGUUGGUUAGCACGUUGGUUAGGCCGUAUCAGGAGACCGCGUCGCAAAGAAAAUCUCAAUAUGCAAUAAAAUUCAUUAUGGUGUUUUGUUUUUAUAAAAAAGUUGUAUAUAAAUCAUCCUACCUUCUCUACUUUUUUUCGGGUUUGCACGCGAUCUAGGCGGCGUAGUAACUCCAGCGUGGCGUAUAGAGAUGCAGAAUUAAAUUUUCCGUCGGGUGGUAUUUAAUUGUUGCAGGAAUACGACCUGCAACCCGCGAAAAUUUGCAAAUAAGAGUAAUUUUUCAACCCUUUUUCCUGAAAUGUUUGUGUUAGUAUUGCUUUAAAAGAUGUCAUAUAGAAUUAUAAUUAUUAGUAAAUGUAUUAUUUAUUAUGUUUCCCUCCCCGCACAUAUCACUUCUAAAUAUCCAGGAGGAAACAGUUAAUAACACUUGUAUUUUUGAUUUUCUUUUUGUAUCACCCUGUAUAUAAAUUUUCUUUAAUGUCCAGUGAAAAAUGAGCAAUCUAUAUUGUUUUUGGGUGAUUUUUUUUUUGAAUCGAAAAUUUCCUUAUGAUAACACCUUGUAUAUAAAUUAUCCUUUAUGUUCAGUGAAAAAUGAGAUAUCUUUAUUGAUUUGGAGUGAUUUUCUUUUUUAAUUGAAGAUUUUCUUUUGAUAACACCGUGUAUAUAAUUUUCCAAUGAUAACAUACAAAUACAAGGCGCAAUUUGUUAUUUGUUAUCUUUUGUAAUUUCGCAGCCGUUAGCAUAGCGCGGCUAUGCAGGUCAUAAACAUGUUUUAAAAUGACGUCAUGUCUUCUGUAGGUAUUGAACUUGCAAGUUCCGAACUUGUAUUGUAUGUAAUUUGUUAAUAAAGAAAUGUUAAAGGCAA